Molecule: ribosomal RNA, 548 nt
Filed under: uncultured bacterium
Lineage: Bacteria
Description: bacterial SSU rRNA
Rfam family: Bacterial small subunit ribosomal RNA
Source: RNAcentral
UAGGGAAUCUUCCGCAAUGGGCGAAAGCCUGACGGAGCAACGCCGCGUGAGUGAAGAAGGAUUUCGGUUCGUAAAGCUCUGUUGUUAGGGAAGAAUGAUUGUGUAGUAACUACACACAGUAGAGACGGUACCUAACCAGAAAGCCACGGCUAACUACGUGCCAGCAGCCGCGGUAAUACGUAGGUGGCAAGCGUUGUCCGGAAUUAUUGGGCGUAAAGCGCGCGCAGGUGGUUUAAUAAGUCUGAUGUGAAAGCCCACGGCUCAACCGUGGAGGGUCAUUGGAAACUGUUAAACUUGAGUGCAGGAGAGAAAAGUGGAAUUCCUAGUGUAGCGGUGAAAUGCGUAGAGAUUAGGAGGAACACCAGUGGCGAAGGCGGCUUUUUGGCCUGUAACUGACACUGAGGCGCGAAAGCGUGGGGAGCAAACAGGAUUAGAUACCCUGGUAGUCCACGCCGUAAACGAUGAGUGCUAAGUGUUGGUCUCAUAAGAGAUCAGUGCUGCAGCUAACGCAUUAAGCACUCCGCCUGGGGAGUACGACCGCAAGGUUG